This 489-nucleotide ribosomal RNA is filed under the name uncultured bacterium. RNAcentral describes it as "bacterial SSU rRNA". It matches the Rfam family "Bacterial small subunit ribosomal RNA", at positions 32 to 528 of the family's 1533-position model. The record is from RNAcentral.
AAUCAACGCUGGCGGCGUGCCUCAGACAUGCAAGUCGAACGAUUAAAGCUCUCUUCGGAGAGUGCAUAGAGUGGCGCACGGGUGAGUAACACGUAAGUAAUCUACCUUCGAGGUGGGAAUAACGUCCGGAAACGGGCGCUAAUACCGCAUAAUGCAGCGGCAUCGCAAGAUGACAGUUGUUAAAGGAGCAAUCCGCUUGAAGAGGAGCUUGCGGCAGAUUAGCUAGUUGGUAGGUAAUGGCCUACCAAGGCUACGAUCUGUAACCGGUCUUAGAGGACGGUCGGUCACACUGACACUGAAUAACGGGUCAGACUCCUACGGGAGGCAGCAGUCGGGAAUUUUGGGCAAGUGGGGGAAACCCUGACCCAGCAACGCCGCGUGAAGGAUGAAGUAUUUCGGUAUGUAAACUUCGAAAGAAUAGGAAGAAUUAAUGACGGUACUAUUUAUAAGGUCCGGCUAACUACGUGCCAGCAGCCGCGGUAAUGUCGA